UACGAAGGGUGCAAGCGUUACUCGGAAUUACUGGGCGUAAAGCGUGCGUAGGUGGUGAGUUAAGUCUGUCGUGAAAGCCCCGGGCUCAACCUGGGAAUGGCGAUGGAUACUGGCUCGCUAGAGUGCGGUAGAGGAGAGUGGAAUUCCCGGUGUAGCAGUGAAAUGCGUAGAGAUCGGCAGGGACACCCAGGGGGAAACCAGUCGACUGGGCAUCUACUGACGCUGAGGUGCGAGAGCGUGGGGAGCGAACCGG
This 253-nucleotide ribosomal RNA is filed under the name uncultured bacterium. Its description in RNAcentral is "partial 16S ribosomal RNA". It matches the Rfam family "Bacterial small subunit ribosomal RNA", at positions 524 to 776 of the family's 1533-position model. The record is from RNAcentral.